AUACAUUUCUCGGCCUUUUGACUAAGAUAAAGUACAAUAUCUACAGUUAGUAUCUAGUAUGUGGGCUAUAUUUCCACUUUAAUUUUAAAUUCAUUUUUUGUAGGGAGGGUCUGUCACACUGGUUUGCCAUGGGCCCACACACGUCAUACAAUUGUUGCACUAUACGAUUGGUGUGGCGUCACAACA
Molecule: small nuclear RNA, 186 nt
Filed under: Zea mays
Lineage: Eukaryota; Viridiplantae; Streptophyta; Magnoliopsida; Poales; Poaceae
Description: U2 spliceosomal RNA
Rfam family: U2 spliceosomal RNA
About the family: U2 is a small nuclear RNA (snRNA) component of the spliceosome (involved in pre-mRNA splicing). Complementary binding between U2 snRNA (in an area lying towards the 5' end but 3' to hairpin I) and the branchpoint sequence (BPS) of the intron results the bulging out of an unpaired adenosine, on the BPS, which initiates a nucleophilic attack at the intronic 5' splice site, thus starting the first of two transesterification reactions that mediate splicing.
Source: Rfam by way of RNAcentral